AACGCACAUUGCGCCCGCCAGUAUUCUGGCGGGCAUGCCUGUUCGAGCGUCAUUUCAACCAUCAAGCCCCCGGCUUGUGUUGGGGACCUGCGGCUGCCGCAGGCCCUGAAAACCAGUGGCGGGCUCGCUGUCACUCCGAGCGUAGUAGUUUACAUCUCGCUCAGGACAUGCUGCAGGUUCCGGCCGUUAAAAGCCUUAUUUUACCCAAGGUUGACCUCGGAUCAGGUAGGAAGACCCGCUGAACUUAA
This 248-nucleotide unclassified non-coding RNA is filed under the name uncultured Sordariales. Its description in RNAcentral is "sequence contains 5.8S rRNA gene, ITS2, 28S rRNA gene". The stretch from base 1 to 52 matches the Rfam family "5.8S ribosomal RNA", at positions 103 to 154 of the family's 154-position model. The record is from RNAcentral. Lineage: Eukaryota; Fungi; Ascomycota; Sordariomycetes; Sordariales.